ACCCAAAUUACAGAAACACUCCACUGCAAGUGUUACAUGGUUGUUAUCAACCUGCAGCUACGUCUGCCUACGGUAAAGCGCUAAAGUUUUACCAAUUUGAUAAUGUGAAGUUGUACGAGAUCAAAGUAGAACNCAAGCUGGUAGAAAAUCAUGUUAUCCUAUUGAAUCGAAACGUAAAAACAAAAAAGCAUGAUAUGAGCUGGGAACAAUAGUAGCAUUAGCUGCUAUAUCUCUACAACUUUGCAUGUAUGGAACAGCUUCGGCUGAUUAAAUGGUUGUUGCGCCAAUUGCGGACACCUCUUUGAUAGAGCGCACUAGUUCUAUCAGUCACUUUGGCUAUACCUGGUAUGAAUGUACCUACGUACAGUCGAGAAAACCGACAGGGUGUCUACCCGUCUGAUGCUCUUACGGUAUGCUAAUGGUUCUCGAAUUGUUAGUCCAUACCGCUGGGUGACGGGCUGUACUGUCCUCGGGCAGUGCUAGGCUUAAUGAGUGGUGCUAGCCAAGGCUUAUCCACCGCCCUGUUUGAUUGUUUCCUAUCAUUUUACACUGUUUAAGUGGUUCAGCUUCGGCUUGGAUCCAUUGACCCAACAUGCACCCGGCCUCGUGCUGGACUGCAUGUGCAGUCCGGCCCUGGCUGGUGCCUUAUCCCGGGCUGGACUUGCUAAUUAUACAUCGUUCAUUGGGGUGACCUGAUGUGCGAGGUG
RNAcentral lists this unclassified non-coding RNA (707 nucleotides) under Lepidapedon rachion. RNAcentral's name for it is "Internal transcribed spacer ITS1 of Ribosomal DNA". Lineage: Eukaryota; Metazoa; Platyhelminthes; Trematoda; Plagiorchiida; Lepocreadiidae. The record is from RNAcentral.